GAUGAACGCUGGCGGCGUGCCUAAUACAUGCAAGUCGAACGCAUAGCGAAAGGUGCUUGCCCCUUUCAAGUGAGUGGCGAACGGGUGAGUAACACGUGGACAACCUGCCUCAAGGCUGGGGAUAACAUUUGGAAACAGAUGCUAAUACCGAAUAAAACUUAGUGUCGCAUGACACAAAGUUAAAAGGCGCUUCGGCGUCACCUAGAGAUGGAUCCGCGGUGCAUUAGUUAGUUGGUGGGGUAAAGGCCUACCAAGACAAUGAUGCAUAGCCGAGUUGAGAGACUGAUCGGCCACAUUGGGACUGAGACACGGCCCAAACUCCUACGGGAGGCUGCAGUAGGGAAUCUUCCGCAAUGGGCGAAAGCCUGAUGGAGCAACGCCGCGUGUGUGAUGAAGGCUUUCGGGUCGUAAAGCACUGUUGUAUGGGAAGAACAGCUAGAAUAGGAAAUGAUUUUAGUUUGACGGUACCAUACCAGAAAGGGACGGCUAAAUACGUG
This 497-nucleotide ribosomal RNA is filed under the name uncultured bacterium. RNAcentral describes it as "partial 16S ribosomal RNA". It matches the Rfam family "Bacterial small subunit ribosomal RNA", at positions 28 to 507 of the family's 1533-position model. The record is from RNAcentral.